Molecule: ribosomal RNA, 497 nt
Filed under: uncultured bacterium
Lineage: Bacteria
Description: partial 16S ribosomal RNA
Rfam family: Bacterial small subunit ribosomal RNA
Source: RNAcentral
GACGAACGCUGGCGGCGUGCCUAAUACAUGCAAGUUGAGCGCUGAAGGAUUGUACUUGUACCAACUGGAUGAGCAGCGGACGGGUGAGUAACGCGUGGGGAAUCUUCCUUUUAUCGGGGGACAACAUUGGGAAACGAAUGCUAAUACCGCAUAAAAACUUUAAACACAGAUAUUAAGUUUUAAAGGUGCAAUGCCAUCACUCAAAGAUGAUCCCGCGUUGUAUUAGCUAGUGGGGGAGGGAAAGGCCCACCAAGGCGAUCAUACAUAGCCGGCCUGAGAGGGUGGUUCGCCACAAUGGGAAUGAGACACGGCCCCAGAUUCUAAGGGAGGCAGCCGUAGGGGAUUUUCGGCCAUGGACGAAAGGCUGGACCAGCAACGCCGCGUGAGUGAAGAAGGUUCUCGGAUCGUAAAACUCUGUUGGUAGAGAAGAAAGUUGGUGAGAGUGGAAAGCUCCUCAAGUGACGGUACCCACACAGAAAGCGACGGCUAACUACGUG